CAGAUUCUGACGUCACAUUGAAGGCAGGGCAUUCUUCAUUGUCCACAUGUGUGUUGCCUGAGCACAGGCCCCGCCUCCUGAUAGCAACCCCUCCCUCUCCCUCCUCCUUCCCCUUCCUCCCUUGCACAUUUGCCCCACCAUCCUCCCAUCUCCCUUCCUCCCUCCCUUCCAUUAUUCCUAAAUUCCUUCUUCCUUUCCUUUUCCCAUUCUGCUCCUCCUUUCCCCUCACCUCUCCCUUCUCCCACUAUUUCUAAAUGGGCCACACUAUUUUGCUGAAGAUGACCUCCAUCAAACUGGAGAACCUCGUUCACCUAGUUUUUCAACCUUGCCAGGUGAAUUUUCUUUUCCUUAAAGAGAACAACCAGGCCAAAUUCAUCCUGAUGCAUGAACCCUCAUGGAUCCUCAGAGGAAAAAAAAGGAGCAGAAAAUAUAUAAAAACUGGACCAUAAAGAGGAGGGCUAUGGAAUCUGUUUUCUUCACUACAGGACCACCAGUGCAGUCACGACUUCCCAACACCUGCUUCCAGUUCUGCUAUGGAAGACUCAACACCUAAGCUGACUGAAGAUCCAUCUCAGAUCCCAUAGUUGUGCUGGGUGAUAAGCUAAAAAGUAGUAAUAUGUCCAACAAGUUAGAGAAGGGGAAGUCAGGCAAUAAAUUUGGGUGGUCUAGUGACACUAUUGACAAUGAACACUUGGGCCAUCGCUCAUCCAAAUGUUGUUUUGUUUAUGAAAAGCAACAUGCUUUUGGUGAAAGCUCCUCAGAAAGUGAAAAAGAAUAUGAAGACAACGGAGAUGUACUCUGUGCUUGGGGUCAUCAAAAGGGAAGACACAGCGAUCUUUCAAGCAGCCUGGUUAAUACUUCAUCUUCAAAGCCUCAAGACCCAUCUAAAUCCCUUCCUUCCUCUAUCAUUGACUAAAGCCUCAUUUUGCUUCUCCCAUUCCUUAACCAGACUGAACUGCAUGCAAGAUGUCCUUGUUGCUACACAGGAAUUAAAUGUUGUUUGACUCUCUC
Molecule: long non-coding RNA, 1011 nt
Organism: Mus musculus (house mouse)
Lineage: Eukaryota; Metazoa; Chordata; Mammalia; Rodentia; Muridae
Product: predicted gene, 46693
Exons: 3
Source: RefSeq, a predicted model, not a curated record